UACGUAGGGGGCAAGCGUUGUCCGGAAUCAUUGGGCGUAAAGAGCGUGUAGGCGGCCCGAUAAGUCCGCUGUCGAAAGUCCAGGGCUCAACCCUGGGAUGCCGGUGGAUACUGUCGGGCUCGAGUCCGGAAGAGGGAGUGUGGAAUUCCUGGUGUAGCGGUGAAAUGACGGCAGAUAUCAGGAGGAACACCAAUGGCGAAGGCAGCACUCUGGGACGUGACUGACGCUGAGACGCGAAAGCGUGGGGAGCAAACAGG
Molecule: ribosomal RNA, 257 nt
Filed under: uncultured bacterium
Lineage: Bacteria
Description: partial 16S ribosomal RNA
Rfam family: Bacterial small subunit ribosomal RNA
Source: RNAcentral